UAGCUUUUGGUGACAUAGGAUAGACCUGGC
This 30-nucleotide non-coding RNA is filed under the name Mus musculus (house mouse). Lineage: Eukaryota; Metazoa; Chordata; Mammalia; Rodentia; Muridae. The record is from RNAcentral.